GGAGCUAUAAACAAAUCUUGAAUCUCAGCAAGAGGCCUGUGAAUCAGAAAUUUUCACUGCUGUGUCGUGAGAUUGAACAAUACAUCAAAGACAAGUUCAAGACAGGCAGUUGCUGUUCUCCAGGGGAAUACCUGUACUAGUAUCCUGUACAGCAGGCAAUGGCGCUUCUACUGGUACAACAAGAACCUGCAGAAGUGAAAGACUCGUGUACUAGAAUAGUCCAAUGUGAAGGAGCCUUCCUGAGCAGAAGGGAGUCUUGCACUCAGCCCCUUCUCACCAAAAGCUUGGUUUUUGCAGAACUAAAGCUUUAUGAAGCUGCAGCACAUUCAGGAGCAAGGCAAGUAAACUGCAGGCACUUAGAAAAUAAUGCAAGACUUUUUAAAGGUCCAGAAGUAAUUUUUAUGUAUUGUGGCAGUGUAUUAGUGUAAACCCUGACCUGUGGCCUUUCAGUUUGCCCUUUGAUUGUGUUCUGUUUUUGACUCUAUAUUGCUUAAAGCCACAUACAAAGGUAGAAAAACUAAAAGAAUCACAACAUUAUUUAAUCUUGAGUUUCAACAUUAUUUAAUCUUGAGUUUGUUUUUAGGUAGACUAUGGUAUUCUACUGUAAUUUGAC
This 613-nucleotide long non-coding RNA is filed under the name Calidris pugnax (ruff). RNAcentral describes it as "lncRNA (ENSCPUG00000004798.1)". The record is from RNAcentral. Lineage: Eukaryota; Metazoa; Chordata; Aves; Charadriiformes; Scolopacidae.